Molecule: ribosomal RNA, 500 nt
Filed under: uncultured eukaryote
Lineage: Eukaryota
Description: SSU rRNA
Rfam family: Eukaryotic small subunit ribosomal RNA
Source: RNAcentral
GCUGGCCAUGAAUACGCCAAUGCAUUGUUCUAAGUUUAAAUGGGUAUACAGUGGAAACUGGCGAAGAGCUCAUUCAAACAGUUAUAGUUUAUUUUGGUAAUCCGAAUUUACAUGGGAUAACCGUGGGUAAUUUCUAGAGCUAAUACAUGGCUGUAAAGCCCGACUCUUUCGGAAGGGGCCGUAUUUAUUAGAUAACAGACCAAUAUUUCCUCGUGUCUAUUGUGGUGAAUCAUAGUAACUAAUCGGAUCGCAUGGGCUAGUCCCGCGACAAACCAUUCAAGUUUCUGCCCCAUCAGCUUUCGAUGGUAGUGUAUUGGACUACCAUGGCUUUUACGGGUAACGGAGGAUUAGGGUUCGAUUCCGGAGAGGGAGCCUGAGAAACGGCUACCACAUCUAAGGAAGGCAGCAGGGCGCGUAAAUUACCCAAUUCCUAAUUUCAGAGAGGUAGUGACAAGAAAUAACGGGGUCGGGGCUAUGCCCCCGGGACUGCAAUGAGAUGA